AACAAACGCUGGCGGCGUGUCUUAAGCAUGCAAGUCGAGCGGCAAGGGCAGCAAUGCCCCUAGAGCGGCGGACUGGUGAGUAACGCGUGGGUGAUCUACCUAGGGCAUGGGGAUAGCCAUUAGAAAUAGUGGGUAAUACCGAAUACGUUCCUCUGGAUGCGUCCAGGGAAAGAAAGGUGCUACGGCACCGGCCUAUGAUGAGCUUGCGUCUGAUUAGCUAGUUGGUGAGGUAAAGGCCCACCAAGGCGAUGAUCGGUAGCCGGCCUGAGAGGGUGUACGGCCACACUGGGACUGAGAUACGGCUCAGACUCCUACGGGAGGCAGCAGCUAAGAAUAUUCCGCAAUGGACGAAAGUCUGACGGAGCGACGCCGCGUGGAUGAUGAAGGCCGAAAGGUUGUAAAGUCCUUUUGCUGGGGAAGAAUAAGCGUGGGAGGGAAUGCCCGCGUGAUGACAUGAACCGGCGAAUAAGCCCCGGCUAACUACGUGCCAG
This 491-nucleotide ribosomal RNA is filed under the name uncultured bacterium. RNAcentral's name for it is "bacterial SSU rRNA". It matches the Rfam family "Bacterial small subunit ribosomal RNA", at positions 29 to 511 of the family's 1533-position model. The record is from RNAcentral.